UAAGAAACAUAUGGUUAUCAGAACGUUGUGUGCUAGCUGGGUAACCUAUAUUCUUGUAAAAUCGAGUGAUGUUGUUUAUAAUCCACCAGAAGGCCUUUAUUUAAUCCUAGCCAGAAUUUUAGCAUUUUCAAUAAAAAAUACUAGCUAUUUAAUGGAUGUGUCCUGGCAGAUAAUGGCUGGAAAAAAAUACUCAAUAGGCUAAUUCAGUUUCAGUAUAAUCUACUAGUAUUAUUUUCAUGUGAUAUAAUAGACGUUAUAAACUGUUAAAUUAGCAUACCUAAUUAGCCGGUUUCCAAUUUGGAAUCUGUCGUUAUAUUAUUCACAUCCACGCGCUUUCAGGACAGAAUUUCACAGGGCUUUCCUUACGGUAUUCAGAGCAUAAAAUAAGACAUUUCCCUUUUAAGACGGUGAGUUUACUGUAGUUUAGGCCAAAUAUUAUACAGGCUAGUUUAGGAAAAAUGUGUGGUCGCCUAAACAAAAGUUUAGACAUACAUAGAUGGUUUGGAUUAAAUCGAUUACACAACAGUCUCUAAAAACAGUUCGGUGUGUUUCGAUCAGAAACGAUGCCUCUGUUUGACAAGUCUUGGCUCCAAAAGAGUGUCCGCUUCGUGGGCGUAGGCGUGAACCUAUUCAAGUACAGUAAGUAACAGCAAUGGAAUUGGGUGAAAGGAUUGUUUGCUUCAGCUGUCAGAAAAGGGAAUAUGGAGAGCUGUGAAAGCCUGUCUGUAGAUGAAGAGGUCCCAGUGAAUGUCCCAAGAGAUUGCUGGCACAUCCUUGUAUGCCAUGGGUUGUAUGUGUAUUUAUGUUAACAAAUGUUGUAUACAACAAUACAGUUAAAAGUCACACAGAAUGUAGGCUACAAACUUAUUACAACUGUAGCAGGCCAAUCCUUCUCCUGGAGGUAUGCUGGGUGUGCACGCUUUUGUUCAAGCCCAGCACUAACACCUGAUUCAAACCUAUUGAGUUGAGAAUGUGUAUUUUUGCUGGGCUGGAAUACUGCUCACCCAGUAUAUCAGGGAGUGGAGCAAGGUUGGCAACCUCUGGUAUGGCUUUUUUGUACACCUGAAAUUAGGCUUUAGUAAUAAUAUCCUACUUACUAAGAUGUCUAACAUUUACAAACACGUUUUGUACAAACUUGUACAUUUUUAAAUUCAAUGUUGAUUCAUUGAAGUGUUUAAACUGGUUUUAAUUGUUAACUUAAAACAUUCAAGUUGUGGCAAUGUUCAUUCAUGACAGAACACAAUUCUGCAAUAAAAAGGUGUGAAGAGGAUCUGUCUCUAAUUUGUCUGUUUCUGUGUUGCUUUCGUGAAGUAACAUUACCUUUUUGUCCAGUUGUGAGCUCUCCAAUCGGUUUUAUUUGAUUGUCACUCUCAGGAUAUCAGCCAUGUGAACCCAUUUUGCAGCUUAUCAUAAUGGCAUGCAUCACCAAUGCAGCCAUAGGCCUAACGUUUGAUGGCAUUACUGGCCUAAUGGGCAUGUCCAUCAACGUGCCCCUUGUCAUUGUACAUCUAAUGCAGCUCUACGGACAAUUUCUUUGACCUCGUGGCUUGGUUUUUGCUCUGACAUGCCUUGUUAACUGUGGGACCUUAUAUAGACAGGUGUGUGUGCCUUUCCAAAUCAUGUCCAAUCAAUUGACUUUACCACAGGUGGACUCCAAUCAAGUUGUAGAACCAUCCCAAGGAUGAUCAAUGAAAACAGGAUGCACCUGAGCUCAAUUUUGAUUCUCAUAGCAAAGGGUCUGAAUACUUAUGUAGAUAAGGUAUUUCUGUUUU
RNAcentral lists this long non-coding RNA (1772 nucleotides) under Salmo salar (Atlantic salmon). Its description in RNAcentral is "lncRNA (ENSSSAG00000093531.1)". The record is from RNAcentral. Lineage: Eukaryota; Metazoa; Chordata; Actinopteri; Salmoniformes; Salmonidae.